This 273-nucleotide ribosomal RNA is filed under the name uncultured bacterium. RNAcentral describes it as "partial 16S ribosomal RNA". It matches the Rfam family "Bacterial small subunit ribosomal RNA", at positions 524 to 796 of the family's 1533-position model. The record is from RNAcentral.
UACGUCGGGUGCAAGCGUGAAUCGGACUUACUGGGCGUAAAGCGUGCGCAGGCGGUUAUAUAAGACAGAUGUGAAAUCCCCGGGCUCAACCUGGGAACUGCAUUUGUGACUGUAUAGCUAGAGUACGGCAGAGGGGGAUGGAAUUCCGCGUGUAGCAGUGAAAUGCGUAGAUAUGCGGAGGAACACCGAUGGCGAAGGCAAUCCCCUGGGCCUGUACUGACGCGCAUGCACGAAAGCGUGGGGAGAACACAGGAGGAGAUACCCGCGUAGUCC